RNAcentral lists this ribosomal RNA (470 nucleotides) under Lactococcus lactis. Its description in RNAcentral is "bacterial SSU rRNA". It matches the Rfam family "Bacterial small subunit ribosomal RNA", at positions 57 to 510 of the family's 1533-position model. Lineage: Bacteria; Bacillati; Bacillota; Bacilli; Lactobacillales; Streptococcaceae. The record is from RNAcentral.
GCAGUCGAGCGAUGAUUGAAGAUAGCUUGCUAUUUUCAUGAAGAGCGGCGAACGGGUGAGUAACGCGUGGGAAAUCUGCCGAGUAGCGGGGGACAACGUUUGGAAACGAACGCUAAUACCGCAUAACAAUGAGAAUCGCAUGAUUCUUAUUUGAAAGAAGCAAUUGCUUCACUACUUGAUGAUCCCGCGUUGUAUUAGCUAGUUGGUAGUGUAAAGGACUACCAAGGCGAUGAUACAUAGCCGACCUGAGAGGGUGAUCGGCCACACUGGGACUGAGACACGGCCCAGACUCCUACGGGAGGCAGCAGUAGGGAAUCUUCGGCAAUGGGGGCAACCCUGACCGAGCAAGCGCGUGAGUGAAGAAGGUUUUCGGAUCGUAAAACUCUGUUGUUAGAGAAGAACGUUAAGUAGAGUGGAAAAUUACUUAAGUGACGGUAUCUAACCAGAAAGGGACGGCUAACUACGUGCCG